RNAcentral lists this ribosomal RNA (450 nucleotides) under uncultured bacterium. RNAcentral describes it as "partial 16S ribosomal RNA". It matches the Rfam family "Bacterial small subunit ribosomal RNA", at positions 354 to 796 of the family's 1533-position model. The record is from RNAcentral.
GUGGGGAAUAUUCCGCAAUGGACGAAAGUCUGACGGAGCAACGCCGCGUGAGUGAUGAAGGUUUUCGGACUGUAAAGCUCUGUUGUUUAGGACGAAAGUGCCUGUUGCGAACAGUUACAGGUAUUGACGGUACUAAACGAGGAAGCCACGGCUAACUACGUGCCAGCAGCCGCGGUAAUACGUAGGUGGCAAGCGUUGUCCGGAAUUAUUGGGCGUAAAGAGCAUGUAGGCGGAGAUUUAAGUCUGUUGUGAAAAUGCGGGGCUCAACCCCGUAUUGCGAUGGAAACUGAAUUUCUUGAGUGCAGGAGAGGAAAGGGGAAUUCCCAGUGUAGCGGUGAAAUGCGUAGAUAUUGGGAGGAACACCAGUGGCGAAGGCGCCUUUCUGGACUGUGUCUGACGCUGAGAUGCGAAAGCCAGGGUAGCGAACGGGAUUAGAAACCCUAGUAGUCC